GAAUAACACAUGAAUGAGCUUUUUUAAUAG
This 30-nucleotide non-coding RNA is filed under the name Mus musculus (house mouse). Lineage: Eukaryota; Metazoa; Chordata; Mammalia; Rodentia; Muridae. The record is from RNAcentral.